RNAcentral lists this ribosomal RNA (284 nucleotides) under uncultured bacterium. RNAcentral's name for it is "partial 16S ribosomal RNA". It matches the Rfam family "Bacterial small subunit ribosomal RNA", at positions 334 to 635 of the family's 1533-position model. The record is from RNAcentral.
CUCUCCUACGGGAGGCAGCAGCGGGGGAUAUUGCACAAUGGGGGAAACCCUGAUGCAGCGACGCCGCGUGGGUGAAGAAGUAUUUCGGUAUGUAAAGCCCUAUCAGCAGGGAAGAAAGAAGACGGUACCUGACUAAGAAGCCCCGGCUAACUACGUGCCAGCAGCCGCGGUAAUACGUAGGGGGCGAGCGUUAUCCGGAUUCACUGGGUGUAAAGGGAGCGUAGACGGCCGUGCAAGCCAGGAGUGAAAGCCCGGGCCCCACCCCGGGACUGCUCUUAGAACUG